Molecule: long non-coding RNA, 3403 nt
Organism: Esox lucius (northern pike)
Lineage: Eukaryota; Metazoa; Chordata; Actinopteri; Esociformes; Esocidae
Source: Ensembl
GGGGUCUGAAUACAUUUUGACAUUGUGUAUUUGAAUAAUCGUAUGAAUAACAAUUUACUGAAUGAUCUAUGUAAUUUGACAUUUUGUUCUUUUUUAUAUUUCAUUUGACAACACUGGUAAUUAAACAAAUUAUUUUAAGGUGAUGUUGGCUUUAAGGUUCAGAGAUAUUUUUAAGGAAAAAUCAAAAACAAUUAUGUUGCUUACCUAAGUAUUCAACCCCUGUGUGGUGAAAGCUCCCAGUCUACAAAGAAAUUGAACUAACAAGGACACAAUUACUAUUGGCCUGUAUCAAGUGGACUUCUGAGAGAAACCAGUAUGAGGCCAGCAAUAACUUUGAAAGACAUAGAAGUUUAAGGGCUGGGAGUGGAGUUAUGGUUCACUGAUCAAUCAUAUCAUGUGCUUUAAUUAAACUAACCUGUAUUGGAAAGUGGCAAUAAAGAAGCCAUUACUCAAAAAGUACCAUCUGAAAGCAUAACAAUGACACAGCUGCAUUGUGGGAAGGUUUUGUGGUCAGAUGAGACCUUGAUAGAGUUUUUUGGCCAUAACUAAAAUAGAGGCACAAACUUAACACUGCCCUUGCCGUAACAUACAGGUAAUGUUACCUUGCCCUUGUCGUACAUACCGGUAAUGUUACACUGCCCUUGUCGUAACAUACAGGUAAUGUUACACUGCCCUUGCUGUAACAUAUAGGUAAUGUUACACUGCCCUUGCUGUAAAAUUCCAUGCAGGUAACUUUGGCAGUGGCAGCAUCAUGCUGUGGGGAUGCUUCUUAUUAGCAGGGACUGGGCAUCUUGUUAAAAUUGAAUGAAUAAUUCAUGGAGCAAAACACAGGGAAAUACUACAAGAAUAUCUGCUUCAAGAAAUUAAAGCUUGGGAAGAAAUACAUCUUUCAGUAGGACCAUUAUCCCAAGCACAAGGCCAAAGCAAUAUUGUAGGGGCUCCAGAACAAGAAGCUGAAUGUUCCACAGUUGCCUAGUAAAAAUCCAGAUUUCAAUGCAAUUGUCAAUCUCCGGGACUAUUAUAAAAUUGCAGUCCAUAAUCGUUAUUCAACUGACACUCGUUGUUCAUCCGACACUAUAAUCAAAACUGGUAUAUACUUACCAAAAUAUUUGAAGCUGUUAUUGUAGCAAAAUGUGUUUUUACCAAUAAUUAAUUUGUAGGGAUUGAAUACUUAUGCAAGCAAUUUUUAGGGAUUGAAUACUUAAGCAAGCAACAUAUUUCCAUUUAUUUUCGCUACAAACACUUCCCAAAAUAAAACCAUGUCACCAAUAUAUGAUUUUGAUUGUCAGUGUUUUAAAAUAAAAUGUGCAGCAGAAUGCCAUUUUAAUGUACCAUUUGUAAUCCAGUGAUAUGGUAGAUUUGUUCAGAGCCUUGAAUAUGUUUGCAAGGCAGUGUAUAUUCUCAGCUAUGACGUCACCAUCCUAGGCACCAUGGAAACAGUUGGGUUGUCAUUCCUAGAACUGACGCAGAGCACAGAAUGCAGUUAAUCAAGUGUCAUAGGGUGCUGAAUCUUUUCAAACAGUCUUGCGCAUGUAGAACAAAAGAACAUUGACUUUAUUAAAAUCUAUACCUGCAGUAACUAACUGACUGCAGUACUUACAAAAGUUACCUUCACAUAAAAAUGAAUGUAGGAGACAAGUCAAAACAGAUAUGUUACAUUUUAGAUGUUGGCGGGUUUAUGCUGACACUAAUGAAAAAACACAGAUUGUGCACGUUUUCGUAUCUGUGGGUCGUUUCUGAACAGUAAGGUCAGUCACGCCAGCCUCAUGAUGCCAAAGCGAUUGCUGUUUUCACACUUUUGUUCACUCAAACGGAAAACAAUUUGUGCCCACGAGAUCAGGCUGGUCUACUCAAACAGUGUAGGUGUUGUUUUCCUUACUGACUGUUUCAGAAGAGUGUCACCUGUAAACAAGCAAAUGUUCGUGAUUCACCCAGCUCCCUGGCAGAAAUGUUUCUAAUGCAGCAGGAUCAGGUGCUUAUGAUCCAAGAGAAAGUCAGAACAGUAGUGGUCUGGGGUGUAAUCACUAUUCCAAACAGAAGUCCUAAAACUAAAGUUUGCUAUCAGAACGCUAAGACCCUACCUGUUAAAUACCCUUGCAACAGAACAGGUGGAGUGCGUACACCCGACAUCCUUCCGUAGACUGAAGGUGAGCGUACAAAAACUGAUAUGAGCACAAAAAAUACUCCCGGAGAGUCUACAGGUUAAGGUCUAGAAAAGAGUGCAAGGAUGUCACUUUAGUCAGAGAGCUGGGCGGCACGCGUCAACACGGCACCCCCUUGUUUUAUGGAACCCACCGAAUGACUAAUGGUGUCAUCUUUGUCUAAAAAAAAAUAAACUUCACCAUACCUUAGCUUUGACCUACACGAAGAAUACUAUAUGGAGAAAAUGCCCCUCCCCUACCGUUCACACGCUGUUCCUUCUUCUGGACCAAUAAAUAAUUACACUCUUUAAAACACGUCAGGAGAACAACAGGUAGAUAUGGGGUGAACACAGAGUUAGAUACAGGUCUCGCCUUCAUAUGUGAGAUUAUGAGAACAAGUGUUUAAGUGAAUGUUGGGGGUUUAGCAUGGCCAUUAAGUGCCGGAGCCUUGUUACUUAUUUAUAGUGGCCACUAGAUGGUAGUGAUAUAACGUUAAAAAUGUUUCAUGUAAUACCCAAAUUACAACUCACAGAAAUGCGCACCUAGUUGACACCUACUUUAUAAUGACAACAAUCCUUUAAAUGGCAACAAUCAGUACAUACCUCUAGUCCUCUAUCUAACUCUGUGUGAACACUUGUGUCUACUCUGUGUGUAGACAAAUGGGGAGGGGGGUCAGGUAUGUACAAAACGGGAGGGGUGGGGGGCAGUGUGUUUGGGAUGUGGGGGGGACAGUGUGUUUGGGAUGUGGGGGGGACAGUGUGUUUGGGAUGCGGGGGGGACAGUGUGUUUGGGAUGUGGGGGGGACAGUUGAAGGUUGGGCGUCAGUGACCGUCAUCCCAUUAGCUCCAGCCAUCCUAAGGUCUCAGGGGCGUCUCUGAGGGACAGACAGACGAGCUGCAUCAGUAACAACGACGUACUCCCAGUGUUCUUCAUCUCUCAGUCUUUCAGCCAAUAGCUGGAGUGUUUCCUGCCCGUCUGCGUAGCCACGGUUACCAGGCAUUCUUAAAAGACACAGAGUCUCUCUCUCCUUGUGAUGCCAACCCCGUUUAGGGGUGUGUGUGUGUGUGUGGGUGUAGUUAUUCAGGUCCUAGAGUUGCUGUUAAUGGAAUGUUUGGAAGAGUCCGUGGGUUCUACAGCUGGUGGUCGUCUCUGCUAUGGAACACACACAGACAAUUAGAUAACCAGACAUUCUCACACACACACACACACACACACACACACACACACAGACAAUUAGAUAACCAGACACACACACACAAACA